AUUGCAUGUUUUUACACUUUAGAAUUUGAUUGUAUUUUUAAUUGCAUGUUUUUACACUUUGGAAUUUGAUUGUUUUUUCAAUUGCAUGUUUUUACACUUUGGAAUUUGAUUGUAUCUUUAAUUGCAUGUUUUUACACUUUAGAAUUUGAUUGUAUUUUUAAUUGCAUGUUUUUAAACACUUUAGAAUUUGAUUGUAUUUUUAAUUGCAUGUUUUUACACUUUGGAUUUUGAUUGUAUUUUUAAUUGCAUGUUUUUACACUUUAGCAUUUGAUUGUAUUUUUAAUUGCAUGUUUUUACACUUUGGAAUUUGAUUGUAUUUUUCAUUGCAUGUUUUUACACCUUGUGGACUUUGCUGGCAUUUUAAGACUUGCCCCUUUUAGCUUGUUGCCCCUAGCAACCAAGGUGCCCGAUCGAACGGCACCUGAAAAUAGACGCACCUGUGGAGCAUUAGGACUGCACAUGUAAAAGGAGAGAACAUGUAAAGAUCGAGGGAAACGACAGGAGGAGGAAGCGACCGGAGAGGAUCGACAGGCUUUGACAAGAGCGACCGGGUGGACGCACGCAGGCUGGGAAGGAACCCCCCGGACUACACAGCAGACCCCGCAGACUACCGGAGCGAACCCCAAGAAGCCCACAACACGCAGGGGCAGAGGAAACUCAGAAGUAAGUGUCGUGUAUUGUGGAUCUGUGGGGGCAUCCAACUGCCUUAUUGGGCUGUGGGCUUGCGGGCUUGUGCGUUGUGCGCUGGCUGUGUGGUUCUGUGGACAGGGGCGAUCGGGACCUAGAGACCUGCGGUGACCCCCGGGAGCGACCAAGAGGCAGCUAGGGCGAGACGGGACGAGUACGACCACGUAGGUCCCACAAGAGACUGGUGAGGAGAGUGGGCGUACCCAAUACUUCGACGUGGAACUACAGCAGAGGCAGGGUUCCCUGCCUUGCGUGGACCUCCUGUUUGCAUUCUGUCUGCCUUCUUUGCAUCAUGGGAUCACGCCAACAGCACCCAUAUGCGAGACUGUGGCAGAACCGAAUUGAGACCCUAAAAUGGAGCUCUCGAUCACGGAAUUACCCCAAAUUCCUACUUUAGCGUCAUCCCAACCUCACAGUCUGCACGGCCACGAGAGCUGCUUUUCUCCUCAGAACUGCAGGAGCAUGUGACUGGGAAGAUGGAUGGAUGGAUGGCACACAUGGCUACUUGUUGGUGAUGUGGCAGUGCAUGAGGGCGGUACGAGAACAAGGUUCACUUAUUCUAACAGACUGGCAGCGUCUCUCUCUCUCUCUCUCUUCCACACUGGUUUUCUCCCACAUUUCUCUGGAUUACUUCAACAUUCCCUUGGAUCCAUCCUCUGUCACCAACGGAGCAGAGAGCUGCCCCUGUCUCCAUGUGCUUCCUUCUAUAAAAUAUGGCUCCAAUCCCACUCCUCUACUUGGGACGCCAAUGGUCGCCUCCGUUCCCAUCCCGAGCAGCCGCCAUCAAAGCUUCUAUUUAUUGAGCCUCGAACAUGGCUGCUAUUGUUGGCCAUGUGGGGCCGGUGGGCUGGCAGCGACUUGGGUAAACACGCUCCUGAGAGUGCGCAGUGUGUUGAAAUGUGUGGAACACCGGUCAUGUGAUGUUAAAGUGGUAAGCCAGUUAACUCCCUGUGACCUUGCAAUGUGACAUCCUGACAAGAAAUCCUUAUCUGCAGUUAUCUGCAUCCUAAAUGGCAAUUUGGCUGUGAUUGGGUGUAUUAUUCUACCUUUUUACGGCUUCAGGAAUGUUUUGGGCAUGGCCAAAGGUGCAAACCAUUCGUGUUAAUUGUACCUUGAGGAGCUAUACAAGACUUAGACCUAGAUUUCCUUUUUAUUGUCAUUCAAAUUUGAACUUUACAGCACAGAUAAGAACGAAAUUUCGUUACAUAAGCUCAUGGUAGUGCAGGAUAAAAAAGCAAUAAGGUGCAUAUAUGAAUAAACAAAUAUAUAUAUAUAAAUAAAUAGAUUACUGUACAGAUAAAUAUAUUGCACUUUUUCACAUGCGUCCACGUUUAUGGAUGUAUGUUAUAUUGUCUUUUUUAUUCCAGCGAGUUAAUCCAUUUUGGGGGGAGUUGAGGGGAUAAUUUAAUUAUGAUGCAUUCAAGAGUCUUAACGGCCUGAGGGAAGAAGCUUUUACAGAACCUGGAGGUUCUGCUUCGGAGGCUGCGGAACCUCUUUUUAGAGUCCAGCAGUGAAAACAGUCCUUGGUGGGGGUGGGAGGAGUCUUUGCAGAUUUUCUGAGCCCUGGUCAGGCAGCGGCUUUUUGCGAUCUCCUGGAUAAGAGGAAGAGGAGUCCUCACCACUCUCUGGAGAGACUUCCAGUCUGAGGCAAUGCAGGCUCCAUUCCAGACAGAGAUUCUCUAUAGUGCCUCUGUAGAAUGUGGUGAGAAUGGGGGGAGGGAGCUGUGCUCUUUUCAUCCGACGCAAAAAGAGCAUGCGCUGCUGAGCUCUUUUUACAAGAGCUCCGGUGUGUAGGGGCCAGGUUAUAUUGUCAAGAGCUGUUCAACUAAAUUGUCAGGGCCUGGACUUUUUCCUUCACUAUUAUUCCAAUUAUUGAUACCAUUCAUUCAAAAAUGUUUGACAAAAUGGAUAAUAAGCUCACAAAUUAAGACGAAGAAGCACUAAGUUAAAGCUAUAAGAUAUGACAAGGGUGCUUUUCGUUUUUUAAGGACCGAGUGCAAAAACGCCGCUAUGUCAGUGUUUCUUAACCAUAGGGCGCUCAAAAAUGUGUUGUGUCUCAGCUGUGGUCUGUAUGGGCCGCAGCAAUACUCAGUUGUAAUACCCUUUUCCACCACUUGGAGUUAAAGUUAAAGUACCACUGAUAGUCACACACACACUGUGUGCAUUUGACCCAUCCCCUUGUUCAACCACCCUGGGAGGUGAGGGAAGCAGUGAGCAGCAGCGGUGGCCACGCUCGGGAAUCAUUUUUGGUGAUUUAACCCCCAAUUCCAACCCUUGAUGCUUAGUGCCUAUAGCAAGGAGGUAAUGGGUCCCAUUUGUAUAGUCUUUGGUAUGACUCGGCCGGGGUUUGAACUCACAACCUACUGAUUUUGUGGCAGUAUUGAGAAUAUCAUCUAUCCCAUCCAUCCAUUUUCUACCGAUUGUCCCUCUCGGGGUCACGGUGGUUGCUGGAGCCUAUCCCAGCUGCAUUCGGGCGGAAGGUGGGGUACACCCUGGACAAGUCCCCAAUACAUCGUAGGGCCAACGGAGUUAAACAACAUUCAAAUUAUCAACCUAAAUACAUUUUUUAAGCGCAAAAAUGAUGACUAAAGUUGCUGUAUUUUUUUUAAUUUGCAUUUUCAAUUUUGACAUUUGAGUGAAGAAACAUAUUAAUUAUUAUUUCAUUUUAUACAAAAUUAACAUGAUUGUAUGUGAAUUUAUUUUUUGUCAGUUAUUCAUGGGUCCCUUCUUAUGCAGUACAAUAUAUGGUUACUAUUUAUUGUUCUAAUCAGCCUGACCUAAGCCUAAAUUAGGUUGAUGUGUCAAAUAAAUAAUAAUCUUUGUGAUUAACACAUGGUUUCAUAUCAUUUGACAAGGUUGUAAACUAAAUGGGUUAAAUAUAAUUAUUGAAUAUGAUUACAAUUAAGUAUAGGAUUGAUCAGUGACAAUAUUUGAGUGGGCCCCUGGCCCCUCUGUAGUGGAAAAGUUGUAGGUUGUAGGUCAAAAAAGUCUGUGACAUAGCACUCUAUUGCAAAAGUUCUAAUCAAAAUCUGUAACAACUAAAAUAUAGAACAAAUAAGCACAAUUUCAAUGCUAUAUAAAGCUAUGAAAGAACCAUUUGAAAUGCUUCAAAAAUGCUAAUCAAAGAUCCUCAAACUGGGACCCACAUUUUACAACGGUCAUUAAGUCGCGACCCACUUUUUUUUUUUCAAAAGGGUUAUAUUAUCUUUGUUUUUCUACAGUUAAAAAACGUCCUUGUGGUCUACAUAACAUGUAACUGUGUUUCUUUGGUCAAAACUUUGCAUGGAUUAUGUUUUACAGACCGUUUGACCCGCUUUCUAAACGUCUCUUAAGGAUGCGCCGUUUUAGUGGCCGGUCUUAUUUACGUGCCUCCACUUUGACCGCGUCUUUUCCCCGUCAGCUAUGUCGUAGUUUUUUAGCGCUUCUGUUUGAAGACUAAUAUACAUUUUAACUAUGCACUACUUUUGUAUUAGAAAUUGCAACAGCUUGGGAUGCAUGUGCAUGUAUGAGCCAGUCUGCCCCACAACAAGAGGAUGGAGAAAAGGAAGGAAUUUACUGACUGCAGCGUUUGACUACAAUGGCAUACUCGCGCAAAACCUUUUCGGGUGAACCUUUACCAUACAUGGAGAUAUAAGCUGACGUAACACUUGGGGAAAAUGUCACAAAUUGAGCAAUUUUUAAGCAGCCCGUUUGGAGGAAGUAUGAAGGAAGGCAAGAUUGUUUUGUAAAUAUCUCCGCCAUGCCUCCAUGGAUUGAUUUCAAUUUUUUGGACUCAUGCAGAUCCCAAAUACACAAAAACAGGUACCAAUAAGUAUAACAUCUGCGCUUUCUGAGUGCUUUUUCUGGAUGUUUUGUUUUGGACUCUUGUCCACACACAUAUAUAUAUAGCUUUUUCCUUAAUAACUGAGCAUGAAUGUAAUAAAAAUUGACACACGCAAUUGUUUAUUGCUCUGCCGGAGAAGAGUGGGGAUUACUCAAAGAACAGAAAACUUGCGCAUUUGUUUAAAAAAAACCAAGGCCUUAUUAUUUCUAUGGAAUGUUGUGACAUUUGAACAGACUAGUAUCGUAUUUUUCGGACUAUAAGUCGCAGUUUUUUUCAAAGUUUGGCCGGGCUCCAGUGCAACUUAUAUAUGUUGUUUUCCUUUUUUUUAAUGCAUUUUCGGCAGGUGCGACUUAUACUCCGGUGCGACUUAUACUCCGAAAAAUACGGUACUUUAGGAACUUAAAUUGUAUAAAUGAAAUGUAACUAAGUAAUAUAUUCAAAACGAAGAAAUAACAUUUACAACAAAUUGUCAUAAUUAUUGCACAAAGAGAAUAUGCAAAAACACAGACUGAAUUUGUUAAUACUCAUAAUUCCUAGGGUUUGUGAAUGCAACCUCCCUGGCUGUAACCAUCAUUGGUGCAUAAUAGAAUUAAUGAAUGAAAUAAGUUUAUUUCGGUCAUAUAAUCAACCAUUAACCAUUUUAUGUGACCAGUUUAACAGUACAGAUUGUACAUAUAUAACAAUCAGACACAUUUACACACAAAAGGAAAAGAAAAAAGAAAAAGCAUGACCGAAAAAGGAAUAGGCUGAAGCCAAAGCUUAUAUUUGCCUAUCCUAAACCUUCACUGAAAAUAAGAUUACCUGGAACAUCAAUGUUAAAAAAAAAAAAAUCAAAAUCAAUGGGAUGAAAGUAAUUGUUACUAUAUUUUAUAAUUUUCAAUUAUUUCACCUUUCAAUGUUUUCUUAAACCUUAACAAAGAAGUACAUGUCUUCAGCUCAUCACUAAGCUUGUUCCACCAUUUAACUCCUAAAACCGAAAAACAUAUGUGUCAUGUCUGUGUAAUCAUGUUUCGUUUUAAGUCAUGUUUUGUUUAGUUUCUGGCUUUUCACUCCCUUGUCUUGUUUGCAUGAUUACCCAUUAGUUUCACCUGUUCCACGUUUGGACUCAUUGUGCACUCUUGAUUGUCACCAUAGCAACCCAUUAGUUUUCACCUGUCACGUCACGCACCUGUUUUCGUUAAUCAUGGCUGUAGUAUUUAAGUUCAGUGUUUUUCAGUUUGUCUUUCUGACGACCUCAACACAUUUAUGCUCUGUUCAUGCCUGAUACUUCUUUCCAUGUCAAUUCCUCAAGCAACUAUUUUUGUCCAAGCCAAGUAAGUUUUUGUUCCAUAUUUAUAGUCUUUUUGGUUUCAUAGUUUGUUCUCCGCCAUUGUGCGUGUUUUUUUGUUUGUACUUUUUGCUAUAGUCUUUUGGUUUCAUAGUUUAUUCUCCGCCACUGUGCGCGCUUUCAUUUAUUCCUUUUUUUGAUAAUAAUAAAUCAUGUACCUUCAUUCCCGUCUCGCACGAGCCAACUUUCCGUUGCAUCCUGGAAAAGCACACACCCCGGACCAAGUCUUGACAAUAUGUAUUUAAUAUUCGUAAUGAGGAAGUCUUGUCAAUGUGUUGUUGUGUUUGGGGCUCUGCAAUGCCAGCAGUGUAAUUAUGGGGAUGCUGUUUUGGCGCGGUAGGGCUGACAAAGUUUAAAAAGAGCGACAGACUCUGUAUGCUUGUCGGGACGCUCGUAGAAUAUCACCGUGAAACACUUGUUGCAGGUGGCUGAGUUUGCAUUCAUUUAACACUGAAAUCAGGCACCAACAGUUACUUUUUUUCCGUGUGGUUACGACAGUUUACGUUGCCAUUAAGUAAACCGGGUUUCGGUGCCCAUCCCUACUCAACAGAUGAUCUGACCGUCACAGAUGAACAGAAACACAGUUGUAUUUUGUAUUCUAUGGCUCAAGACUAGUACUUAAGAUGUAUCUGUAGAUAGAUAAACUAGGUUAAUAAUUAACAACCUAAAAUAUAUUGUGUUCAUCACCUUAUUGUUUGUGGGGGUUUUCCCCCAUCAUAUAUUUCAACUUGUGCAAUCUAGGCCUCCCGACUGUGUUAAGGUCAUCUUGCCCUUACAUUUUUAGUAACAGUAGUCCUAUGGAGUCCUUCAUCGUUGAUUGACAACUGUCGUUGAAGCAUUCACUAAUCAGAGCGCUACAGAUGAGGGGCGUCUCCCUUAACGCUACUGCCAUUGGUGGCAUGUCAACCCAUAUGGUCUGGCUUGGCUUUCCCUGUAUCAACAUUUUUGGGCCAACAAAAUCAAAGUGCAAAUAAGUGACAAAAUGGAAUGGGUUAUUUUAAGCUGAGGAACCCAUUGACGAUUUCCAAAGGCCAGGAUGGAACAUAAGAGCUUUAAGAGCUAGGCCUCUUCUGGACAGAAUACAGCAAGGAUACCUUAUCCUGUAAAAAACAGGAACGUUUUUCAUUGAUAAGCAAAUGAUCCUUUAUAUGGACUGUUGUCAAUCGGUGUGGCAAUUUGUUCCUGACAAGCCAUACCUUAAAAGCUUAUUGUUUUUGUUUCUUCAGAUGGUCUGAUGCUUGGCUUGCUAGUGUAUCAAGGAAAGGAUACUCUUGCUGAUCACAGGUUGGGGCAGAAGCAGUCCUGCACUUGGUUAAAACUGCUCCCACCGAUAGUCACACAUAGUUGAAAAGAAUAGUGUGUCAGUGAUAAAAGUCAGAAGAAGUCAAAGUAUGCUGACCACAAAAUGGUAUGACACCAAGUCAGUGACAAUGGCUUUUACUGCACAUGGGAAAGAGGCUGAUGAUGUCUGCACCAGAUGGUCAAAUAAAGACAAAUACCAGGUCCCGGUGAGAUGACCCUCAUAAAAGAGUACAAUGACAACAUGGGUCGUGUGGACCUCUGUGAUCGCCUGCUGAGAUUAUAUUGUGUUACUAGAAGAACCAAGAAAUGGACCAUGUGCGUCUUUGAUGUUGCCAUCACAAUUUUCUGGUUGCACUACCAGUCCGACAGCAUAGAGCAGGAGUGUUCAAACUUUUUAACUGGGGGGAAAAAAUUGGCGGACUGCAUGCAAAGUAACUAUAUAUACACACAAAGAUAUAUAUGUAUGCGUGUGUGUAUAUGUAUGCGUAUGUGCAUAUCUAAAUGUAUAUAUAUGUGUGUGUAUAUAUGUACAUAUAGGAAGUCAAUGGAACUAUCUUGCAGUGUUUUUACUCAGCCGUAUUCUUUAAACUAUAUGCAGUUUAUUGUUGUUUAUUAUUUUUUUUACAAACUUCAUUUUCGUACGUGAAGCUACGAGAAGUGGAUAGAAUCCUUGUAAACGUAUUUACAGAGGAGUAUGAAGUAAUCAGCUUACUACUCUGAGACUUUGUUGGAUACAUGUGACAUAAAGGAGACAACAAACAAAUGGAACCAACGUAAAUCCCAUCAAAUGUUCAGUUUUUACUUCGUUAGAUGCUGUGAAAAUAGUCAGUGACAUGUCAUUUGUGUAGUUGUUAGCCUUAACCCGAGUGGUUAAAGCGGAGGGGAAAAUUACAAGGACGAUACUCCCAGAGAUGAGUGCCAUGUACACAACUCGCUGCCUAAAGCGAGUACACAACAUCCUGAAGGACAGAUACCACCCAGCACAUGGCCUCUUCAACCUGCUACCCUCUGGAAUAGAUCAAUUUGCGCCAGGACCACCAGAAUGUCUCACAGUCUGUAUCCCCAGGCUGUGAGACUGCUAAAUGAACAGCCUGCCCCUUUGGUGCCCCGGACCAUCUUAUUACCUCACUCUUCACCACCUCAAUAAUUGUGCUAUGGACAUUGCAUUGCUGCAACAUCAACGUAACACCCAUCAGACAUCUGACUGUUCCCACCACCCACGUCCCUCUUAUCGCGAUCUUCCUGACAAUGCUAAAAUGUAAACAAUUGUCAACCUGCACAUCAAUGCAGUUUCUAUGCCGCUGGACAAAGCUCAAACAAAAUCUCGUUGACAUGUAUGACUUAAGUGUUAGUAUGACAAUGACAAUAAAGGAAUUGAUUGAUUGAUUGAUUGAUUGAAUGAACCGAA
Long non-coding RNA from Nerophis lumbriciformis (worm pipefish), 8547 nucleotides. RefSeq lists it as uncharacterized. The record is from RefSeq and is a predicted model, not a curated record. Lineage: Eukaryota; Metazoa; Chordata; Actinopteri; Syngnathiformes; Syngnathidae.